GCCUCUGAGGAUGAUGAAACGUCUACUGAUUUUUCUAUGCGGAAAAUGUAUGGAGACCUGAACUGAAGAGGA
Non-coding RNA from Vigna angularis (adzuki bean), 72 nucleotides. NCBI's taxonomy places the organism in Eukaryota, Viridiplantae, Streptophyta, Magnoliopsida, Fabales, Fabaceae. The record is from Rfam.